UACAGAGGUGGCAAGCGUUGUUCGGAAUUACUGGGCGUAAAGGGCGCGUAGGCGGUCUUGUAAGUCCCGUGUGAAAUCCCUCGGCUCAACUGAGGAACUGCACGGGAAACUGCUUGGCUUGAGUUCGGGAGAGGGAAGCGGAAUUCCUGGUGUAGCGGUGAAAUGCGCAGAUAUCAGGAGGAACACCGAUGGCGAAGGCAGGUCUCUGGGCAUUAACUGACGCUGAGGAGCGAAGGCAUGGGGAGCGAACAGG
RNAcentral lists this ribosomal RNA (253 nucleotides) under uncultured bacterium. RNAcentral's name for it is "partial 16S ribosomal RNA". It matches the Rfam family "Bacterial small subunit ribosomal RNA", at positions 524 to 776 of the family's 1533-position model. The record is from RNAcentral.